Molecule: ribosomal RNA, 397 nt
Filed under: uncultured Neocallimastigomycetes
Lineage: Eukaryota; Fungi; Neocallimastigomycota; Neocallimastigomycetes
Description: eukaryotic LSU rRNA
Rfam family: Eukaryotic large subunit ribosomal RNA
Source: RNAcentral
GUUUUAUCUUGACGAAUUGUAGUUUAAAGAAGUGUUUUCUGUUGAAGUUUUGGUAAAAGUUCUUUGGAAUAGGACAUCAUAGAGGGUGAGAAUCCCGUAUUUGACCAUUAUUUUCAGCUGUGUGAUACACUUUCAAAGAGUCGGAUUGUUUGGGAAUGCAGUCCAAAAUGGGUGGUAAAUUUCAUCUAAAGCUAAAUAUUGGCGAGAGACCGAUAGCGAACAAGUACCGUGAGGGAAAGAUGAAAAGAACUUUGAAAAGAGAGUUAAACAGUACGUGAAAUUGUCAAAAGGGAAGCGUUUGACACCAGUGUUGUUUUCUCGAAAAUCAAUUAAAAAAAGUUGGAUUUUGUGUUGUAUUGACCUUAACAGCUUUCUGCACUCUUUUCCUGCUUUUUUU